CCCUUAGAGUUUGAUCCUGGCUCAGGAUGAACGCUAGCUACAGGCUUAACACAUGCAAGUCGAGGGGAAACGAUAGAGAAAGCUUGCUUUUUCUAGGCGUCGACCGGCGCACGGGUGAGUAACGCGUAUCCAACCUGCCCACCACUUGGGGAUAACCUUGCGAAAGUAAGACUAAUACCCAAUGAUAUCUCUAGAAGACAUCUGAAAGGGAUUAAAGAUUUAUCGGUGAUGGAUGGGGAUGCGUCUGAUUAGCUUGUUGGCGGGGUAACGGCCCACCAAGGCGACGAUCAGUAGGGGUUCUGAGAGGAAGGUCCCCCACAUUGGAACUGAGACACGGUCCAAACUCCUACGGGAGGCAGCAGUGAGGAAUAUUGGUCAAUGGGCGAGAGCCUGAACCAGCCAAGUAGCGUGCAGGAUGACGGCCCUAUGGGUUGUAAACUGCUUUUAUAAGGGAAUAAAGUGAGCCUCGUGAGGCUUUUUGCAUGUACCUUAUGAAUAAGGACCGGCUAAUUCCGUGCCAGCAGCCGCGGUAAUACGGAAGGUCCGGGCGUUAUCCGGAUUUAUUGGGUUUAAAGGGAGCGCAGGCGGACCUUUAAGUCAGCUGUGAAAUACGGCGGCUCAACCGUCGAACUGCAGUUGAUACUGGAGGUCUUGAGUGCACACAGGGAUACUGGAAUUCAUGGUGUAGCGGUGAAAUGCUCAGAUAUCAUGAAGAACUCCGAUCGCGAAGGCAGGUAUCCGGGGUGCAACUGACGCUGAGGCUCGAAAGUGCGGGUAUCAAACAGGAUUAGAUACCCUGGUAGUCCGCACAGUAAACGAUGAAUACUCGCGAUUUGCGAUACACAGUAAGUCGCCAAGCGAAAGCGUUAAGUAUUCCACCUGGGGAGUACGCCGGCAACGGUGAAACUCAAAGGAAUUGACGG
Molecule: ribosomal RNA, 923 nt
Filed under: uncultured bacterium
Lineage: Bacteria
Description: bacterial SSU rRNA
Rfam family: Bacterial small subunit ribosomal RNA
Source: RNAcentral